RNAcentral lists this unclassified non-coding RNA (323 nucleotides) under uncultured fungus. RNAcentral describes it as "partial contains small subunit ribosomal RNA, internal transcribed spacer 1, and 5.8S ribosomal RNA". The stretch from base 1 to 73 matches the Rfam family "Eukaryotic small subunit ribosomal RNA", at positions 1759 to 1831 of the family's 1831-position model. Lineage: Eukaryota; Fungi. The record is from RNAcentral.
UCAAACUUGGUCAUUUAGAGGAAGUAAAAGUCGUAACAAGGUUUCCGUAGGUGAACCUGCGGAAGGAUCAUUAUCGUACAACGGAGGUGCCCAAGGGGCUGUCGCUGACCCUCGAAAGGUCGUGCACGCUCGAGCACUCUCUCUCACACAUCCAUCUCACCCCUUUGUGCAUCACCGCGUGGGUCCCUUCAAAAGGGGGGGCCUGCGUUUUCCCAUAAAAACCGGAUGCAGUGUAGAAUGCCUUUUACUUUUUGCGGUCGUACGCAAUCAAUACAACUUUCAACAACGGAUCUCUUGGCUCUCGCAUCGAUGAAGAACGCAGC